Bos taurus (domestic cattle) is the source of this 1788-nucleotide long non-coding RNA. NCBI's taxonomy places the organism in Eukaryota, Metazoa, Chordata, Mammalia, Artiodactyla, Bovidae. The record is from Ensembl.
CAGGCCUCAGCUCCCUCUAGCUCCUCCAAGGGCUGUGUUGGAUGUUUGUUCUACAAAGGUAGCCCCAGCUGGCAGAAGAGCUGACUUGGGCCUGACCCAAGCCGCCUCUUGUUUCCCUGGCUUCAGCCUGAAUGUAGCAGUAGGAAGCUUUCUUUGGGUCUCUGCUACUAACAGCCGCAGUUAUGGGAUAGGGCAAAUCCUGAGACGUGCCUGAUACAUGGGUAACUCCGUGGAAGCCUCAGGUCUCGGUUCUGAGUCAAGUCAGGAGGCGAGGCUCAUCCAGCAAGAGCCUGUGGUUAGGCUGCCACCUAGUGUUGAGCUGGGUGUACAGCAGAAAGGCCUCUACAGGGCACCCAACCUGAGGGGCUGACAGGCAAGAAAGAGGGAAAACCAGAAAAUCUGCAAAGAAGCCAGGCUCCUGAGGGGCCCCAACCACCCCAGACCAGACGGAAAAUGCAUUUCGGGCGAAGACAAACGAUGAAGUCAGCCUGCAGCCGGAGGCCAAGAAAACUAAAAGCGCACUUUUACAGGAAACAGCAAUGAAUUGAGGGCAGCUGUAUGGAUGUGAGAGUUGGACUGUGAAGAAGGCUGAGCGCUGAAGAAUUGAUGCUUUUGAACUGUGGUGUUGGAGAAGACUCUUGAGAGUCCCUUGGACUGCAAGGAGAUCCAACCAGUCCAUUCUGAAGGAGAUCAGCCCUGGGAUUUCUUUGGAAGGAAUGAUGCUAAAGCUGAAACUCCAGUACUUUGGCCACCUCAUGCGAAGAGUUGACUCACUGGCAAAGACUCUGAUGCUGGGAGGGAUUGGGGGCAGGAGGAGAAGGGGACAACAGAGGAUGAGAUGGCUGGAUGGCAUCACUGACUCGAUGGACGUGAGUCUGAGUGAACUCCGGGAGCUGGUGAUGGACAGAGAGGCCUGGUGUACCGUGAUUCAUGGGGUCGCAAAGAGUCGGACACGACUGAGCGACUGAUCUGAUCUGAUCUGAUCUGAUGCCUCUUCAAAGAUUUGCUACUUUUUGAGACUUUCAAGCAUGAAAAUGGUUUAUCCUCCCCUCUCAUAAUUGAUGGGGAGGCCAAAUAGGACAGAGUGACAUAACCAGCAAACAGAGCACCUUAAGACAACACACCCGUUAAAGUAACGUAACGAUCAAGGAAACAAGACUGCAAGCAGCUUGGGAAAUGGAGAGCAAAAGAAUUAGCUUCAUCAAGCCAUCAUUCUAGAGCAGGCUUGUUGUUUGGUGUGGCUGCGUUUUUGUGUAGGAAUUGUACAUAGCUGCAAGUGUCAUCCACAUGCCCACACUCUAACCUCCUUUCUCCACCUAACAUGAUGUCAUGAGCAUUUUUCUGUGUUGCUACAUAGUCUGUAUAAUUACUCUAAAUGACUGUACAAUAUUCCACUCAUUAUACUACUGCUGAAUAUUUAGGUUCCUUUUUUUUUUCCUUUGCUCAAUUUUCAUGAAUUAACAAAUGUAAGGUGUUUCCACCCAAGCUUGCAAAACGUAGACACAGAGUAGAUGCUUUUUGUCUUUUCCAUCUCUCUCCUUCCUGUGUAUCUUUGUCCCUGGGCUUUUCCUUGAGAUAAGUGUUCCUUAGGGUUCAGGGGUAUGACUCUCCACACAUACUGCUACCAUAUUGUUCCAUUAAUUACAAUGACAAUUUGAGAAAGCAGAGGUCUGCAAGUUUAACUAAUCUGCCCAGGGUCCCUGUCUGUUCUGUUUUCUUCUUUUCCCCCCAAGGUCUGCUCCAGUGUCUGGUGCAUAGAACGACUUCAAUAAACAUUUGCUGAAUGAA